CUCUUGAGAGCGGCGGACGGGUGAGUAAUGCCUAGGAAUCUGCCUGGUAGUGGGGGAUAACGUUCGGAAACGGACGCUAAUACCGCAUACGUCCUACGGGAGAAAGCAGGGGACCUUCGGGCCUUGCGCUAUCAGAUGAGCCUAGGUCGGAUUAGCUAGUUGGUGGGGUAAUGGCUCACCAAGGCGACGAUCCGUAACUGGUCUGAGAGGAUGAUCAGUCACACUGGAACUGAGACACGGUCCAGACUCCUACGGGAGGCAGCAGUGGGGAAUAUUGGACAAUGGGCGAAAGCCUGAUCCAGCCAUGCCGCGUGUGUGAAGAAGGUCUUCGGAUUGUAAAGCACUUUAAGUUGGGAGGAAGGGUUGUAGAUUAAUACUCUGCAAUUUUGACGUUACCGACAGAAUAAGCACCGGCUAACUCUGUGCCA
RNAcentral lists this ribosomal RNA (428 nucleotides) under Pseudomonas sp. R11.33. RNAcentral describes it as "bacterial SSU rRNA". It matches the Rfam family "Bacterial small subunit ribosomal RNA", at positions 86 to 510 of the family's 1533-position model. Lineage: Bacteria; Pseudomonadati; Pseudomonadota; Gammaproteobacteria; Pseudomonadales; Pseudomonadaceae. The record is from RNAcentral.